This 918-nucleotide ribosomal RNA is filed under the name Triticum aestivum (bread wheat). Its description in RNAcentral is "partial small subunit ribosomal RNA". Lineage: Eukaryota; Viridiplantae; Streptophyta; Magnoliopsida; Poales; Poaceae. The record is from RNAcentral.
AUGGAAUUGGCAAACAAGUUCGAACAUACAAGUGCAACGACAAGGGAGUUUACAUUUGAGUUCUUGGAACAAAUUACAGACAAUUUUUCUGAUGAGCACGUCAUUGGUCGUGGUGGGUAUGGAGUAGUUUACAAGGGGGUACUAGAAAAUGGGGAAGAGAUUGCUCUCAAAAAGCUCCAUUACAUGCCGGGGCUUGGUGACACGCAAUUUAGGAAUGAAUUUAAUAACCUUAUGAGGGCCCAACAUCCAAAUAUUACCCGGUUGGUUGGCUAUUGCUAUCAUCUAGGACAUCAACGCAUUAAGUACAAAGGUGAAUAUAUUUUUGCCCAUGUGGAAGAAAGAGUUCUCUGCUUCGAAUACUUGCAAGGUGGAAGCCUUGACAAGCAUAUUUCUGAUGAAUCAUGUGGACUCGAUUGGCAGACACGUUUCAAAAUUAUUAAGGGAGUUUGUCUGGAUCCGAUUUACCAUCUUGACUUGAAACCUGCUAAUAUAUUGCUGGACAAGAACAUGGUCCCGAAAAUUGGAGAUUUUGGUUUGUCAAGACUCUUCCCUUCAGCACAAACCUAUAUCACUAUCAACAUUAUAGGAACACCUGGAUACAUGCCACCAGAAUACAUUGAUAGAAACGAAAUCACAUCAAAGUAUGAUGUAUUCAGCCUGGGUGUUAUAAUCAUACGGAUAAUGGCAGGAGAUGAGGGCUACUCCAAAUGCGCACAUAUGUCUUCGCAAGAAUUUCUUGAGCAUAUACAUGAAAACUGGAGAAAACAGUUUCAGGGAACAAUGUUGUCACAUACAUCAGAUCAAGUUAAGACAUGCAUCGAAAUAGCAUUAAGGUGUGUGCAGGUUGACCGUGAGAAAAGGCCUACCAUAGCCAAGAUUGUCGAUGAACUAAACAAGGUUGGUACAGUUCACCUGUAG